AACGAACGCUGGCGGCGCGCCUAAUACAUGCAAGUCGAGCGAGAAGACGUAGCAAUACGUUUGUAAAGCGGCGAACGGGUGAGGAAUGCAUGGGUAACCUACCCUCGAGUGGGGAAUAACUAGCCGAAAGGUUAGCUAAUACCGCGUACGCUCCUUGGACUUCGGUUCAGGGAGGAAAGCGAUACCGUGGGUAUCGCGCUCUUGGAUGGGCUCAUGUCCUAUCAGCUUGUUGGUGAGGUAACGGCUCACCAAGGCUUCGACGGGUAGCUGGUCUGAGAGGACGAUCAGCCACACUGGCACUGCGACACGGGCCA
This 314-nucleotide ribosomal RNA is filed under the name uncultured bacterium. RNAcentral's name for it is "bacterial SSU rRNA". It matches the Rfam family "Bacterial small subunit ribosomal RNA", at positions 29 to 333 of the family's 1533-position model. The record is from RNAcentral.